Echinops telfairi (small Madagascar hedgehog) is the source of this 636-nucleotide long non-coding RNA. RefSeq lists it as uncharacterized. Lineage: Eukaryota; Metazoa; Chordata; Mammalia; Afrosoricida; Tenrecidae. The record is from RefSeq and is a predicted model, not a curated record. The transcript is spliced from 2 exons.
UGCCCACUGUUGCGCUCCAGAGAGGCUCGAAAAUAGGAAAUAGGAAGCCGUGAGGUGGAGACUCCGUCUUUUGCAAUCGAUGCACUCAACAACUGACCGCAGAUGUGGGGGAGUCUCGGUAUCUGUUGGGGUUCGCACUUGACCCCCUUUUCCCUGAGUAGCCCUCAAGUCUGGAUGUAGUCUCCCCUCCUCCCUGAGUCUGCCCUCCAGCGCAGGGUGAACCCGGUUGGGGUGUCACUCGACGCCCACUGGGAGUUGAGGCGGCUCCAGUGCGCAGGCUCCGAGCACCAGAUAAAAGCGGAGCAGGCGAGUCCAGUGCCGUCUCGAUGGAGGAGCGAGAAACGGAGGAGGAUGGGGGGAGAAACUGCAGGAAAAACACAGCCACCGUCAGCGCCGCCUCCCUGCCACCGUGUAUCGGGGUAAAAGCUGCCGUUGCUGUCGGUGCAGUUGCCGUCGCUGCCGCCGCCUCCUCUUGGCCCUGGGGAAGGAUUUCCCUGCCGGCGGGACAGUGUGCGGGGAGGGAACGGGGGUUCCUUUAUGUGGCGGUGAUUAAACUAGGGAGGAACAGAGACAGGGUUAUCUGGGAAGAAGAAAGGGAGGGCAAAGAAUAAAACGGGUUUCCCCACUCAAAUGACA